UGGAUCCAGACUUUGAUUAUGGCUCAGGACGAACGCUGGCGGCGCGCCUAACACAUGCAAGUCGAACGGAGAUUACAGGCGGAAGUUUUCGGAUGGAAGCUUGUAAACUUAGUGGCGGACGGGUGAGUAACACGUGAGCAACCUGCCUAUCAGAGGGGGAUAACGAUUGGAAACGAUCGCUAAUACCGCAUGACAUAGCGGAACCGCAUGGUUCUGUUAUCAAAGAUUUUAUCGCUGAUAGAUGGGCUCGCGUCCGAUUAGAUAGUUGGUGGGGUAACGGCCUACCAAGUCGACGAUCGGUAGCCGGACUGAGAGGUCGAACGGCCACAUCGGGACUGAGACACGGCCCAGACUCCUACGGGAGGCAGCAGUGGGGGAUAUUGCACAAUGGGGGAAACCCUGAUGCAGCGACGCCGCGUGAGGGAAGACGGUCCUCUGGAUUGUAAACCUCUGUCUUCGGGGACGAAACGAGACGGUACCCGAGGAGGAAGCCACGGCUAACUACGUGCCAGCAGCUGCGGUAAUACGUAGGUGGCAAGCGUUGUCCGGAAUUACUGGGUGUAAAGGGAGCGUAGGCGGGCAGGCAAGUCAGGCGUGAAAUAUAUCGGCUCAACCGGUAACGGCGCUUGAAACUGCAGGUCUUGAGUGAAGUAGAGGUUGGCGGAAUUCCUAGUGUAGCGGUGAAAUGCGUAGAUAUUAGGAGGAACACCAGUGGCGAAGGCGGCCAACUGGGCUUUUACUGACGCUGAGGCUCGAAAGUGUGGGGAGCAAACAGGAUUAGAUACCCUGGUAGUCCACACCGUAAACGAUGAUUACUAGGUGUGGGGGGACUGACCCCUUCCGUGCCGGAGUUAACACAAUAAGUAAUCCACCUGGGGAGUACGGCCGCGAGGUUGCAACUCAAAUGAAUUGACGGA
This 917-nucleotide ribosomal RNA is filed under the name uncultured Bacillota bacterium. RNAcentral's name for it is "bacterial SSU rRNA". It matches the Rfam family "Bacterial small subunit ribosomal RNA", at positions 1 to 917 of the family's 1533-position model. The record is from RNAcentral. Lineage: Bacteria; Bacillati; Bacillota.